This is a long non-coding RNA of Esox lucius (northern pike), 960 nucleotides long. The record is from Ensembl. NCBI's taxonomy places the organism in Eukaryota, Metazoa, Chordata, Actinopteri, Esociformes, Esocidae.
CCUACACCGACGAGUCUCUGACAAAUUUUGAGUUGACGUUUAUUCGCGUGACUCAUGGCUGCACUUUUUUCUCAACAUCGGAGACAAGUGAUGUUGUUCAGCGAGGUCUCCUCCUGGCACGGGUUGUUAAUUUAUUGCCAUAGACAACUCAUUCUCACCCCGCCUCGCUGGCCAAGCUGCAGCCACGCUCUGUGUCACCACCACUCCUAGCCAAGUGUCAUGUGAUCUAAAAAAUACCUGGCACUGUGAAAUGGCUUUCUUUUUUCCACAAACCGCAACCAAGCGGCCCCGGUACCAUCCUGAGAGAACGACCGGGUAAAGACAACGUUCACACGGAAGAACAUGGGAAUACGGCUCAACUGUCGGGCACACAAAACACGUCUGAGCAAUACGCUAAGAGGAGAAAUAUGGAAAGUACUAUUGAUCAGCACCUGCAAAGCUAACCACCAGGGAUGUUCUGGGAGGUUUCUGCGAGCUUGGGACGCCACCUCCACUGCAUGUUGGAUGACUGCUUAGCUCCGAUGUGGACGGAGACAGGGAAGCCGUGACCAGGCACGAAGGGCAAAAAAGCCAUUCAUGGAAACCCAUCACCCAAUUCCAAGAGGGAAGGAAUGAAACGCAGUCUGACUGGAAGCACUGUAUGCCUAACAGAAGGUUGGGGCAGAAUGGCAUCUGAUGUAAAGACUGUCAGGAGUCAGGCUUCACAUCACCACGGUGCCAACAUCCUGGGGACCAGGAACGUCAAUCAUGAUUUAAUUGAUCUUCACCCUCUCCACAUUUCAAAAGAUCUUGGCUGAUCUGGGUUUCACGACUACUUCGCCCUGAGUUGUGCCAGUCUGCUCAGCGCAGCACUGAACUGCGACAGGAAACAUCUCCCAGGGAGGGUUGAAAAAUCCUGAGUCACAUCCAGUGAUAGGAUUCAGAUUUUGUAUGUUAAUUAAUUACUUAUUCAAGUAUCGA